ACAUCCAAUGGAAAGUGGAGCUCAUAUAGCUAAGCUAACCUUAUCCCGUGUUUGGAAGAAACAACAGGGUUUGACUUGUACUAAAAAUCUGGCAGAGUUUGCCCUAUAAAUAUCACAUUUCUUGAUUAUCCACGAUCAUGAAAACACUCCCAAAUUCACAAUCCUUAACGACAGGACUGACCUUGGACCAAGACGAAUAGGGCAACAGUCCAGGAACAACAAGCCAGUGACCCAAACUUUUUAUAUUACCCAUAUACCUAUAGAAA
Molecule: long non-coding RNA, 266 nt
Filed under: Prunus persica (peach)
Lineage: Eukaryota; Viridiplantae; Streptophyta; Magnoliopsida; Rosales; Rosaceae
Description: long non-coding RNA (PPER_LNC007875)
Source: RNAcentral